UACGGAGGAUGCGAGCGUUAUCCGGAUUUAUUGGGUUUAAAGGGUGCGCAGGCGGAUUUUUAAGUCAGCGGUCAAAUCAUGGGGCUCAACCCCAUCCAGCCGUUGAAACUGGGGAUCUAGAGUGUGCGAGAGGUAUGCGGAAUGCGUGGUGUAGCGGUGAAAUGCAUAGAUAUCACGCAGAACCCCGAUUGCGAAGGCAGCAUACCGGUGCACAACUGACGCUCAGGCACGAAAGCGUGGGUAUCGAACAGG
Molecule: ribosomal RNA, 252 nt
Filed under: uncultured bacterium
Lineage: Bacteria
Description: partial 16S ribosomal RNA
Rfam family: Bacterial small subunit ribosomal RNA
Source: RNAcentral